Molecule: ribosomal RNA, 124 nt
Filed under: Schistosoma haematobium
Lineage: Eukaryota; Metazoa; Platyhelminthes; Trematoda; Strigeidida; Schistosomatidae
Source: RNAcentral
UACGGCGACCGUACCACGUUGAAAGCACCGGUUCUCGGCCGAUCACCGCAGUUAAGCAGCGUUGGGCCCGGUCAGUACUUGCAUAUUCUUCAUCUAUUCAAGUGAUAUUUUUGUGUUUACACAU